GGGAAUAGAUAAGUUCUGGUGGGCUUACCGGUCUUCAAAACCGAGUUGUGGUGCUAAUACCAUCAUGGGUAGGUUCAAUUCCUACAUAUUCCCGCCA
RNAcentral lists this transfer RNA (97 nucleotides) under Clostridium thermobutyricum DSM 4928. RNAcentral describes it as "tRNA-Sec". It matches the Rfam family "Selenocysteine transfer RNA". Lineage: Bacteria; Bacillati; Bacillota; Clostridia; Eubacteriales; Clostridiaceae. The record is from RNAcentral.